CAGUCGCCACGGUAAUACGUAGGUCCCGAGCGUUGUCCGGAUUUAUUGGGCGUAAAGCGAGCGCAGGCGGUUAGAUAAGUCUGAAGUUAAAGGCUGGGGCUUAACCAUAGUAUGCUUUGGAAACUGUUUAACUUGAGUGCAGAAGGGGAGAGUGGAAUUCCAUGUGUAGCGGUGAAAUGCGUAGAUAUAUGGAGGAACACCGGUGGCGAAAGCGGCUCUCUGGUCUGUAACUGAUGCUGAGGCUCGAAAGCGUGGGGAGCAGACAGGAUUAGAUACCCCUGUAGUCCCUGUCUCUUAUACA
Molecule: ribosomal RNA, 301 nt
Filed under: uncultured bacterium
Lineage: Bacteria
Description: partial 16S ribosomal RNA
Rfam family: Bacterial small subunit ribosomal RNA
Source: RNAcentral